ACGCUGGCGGCGUGCCUAAUACAUGCAAGUCGAGCGAGCGGAACUAACAGAUUUACUUCGGUAAUGACGUUAGGAAAGCGAGCGGCGGAUGGGUGAGUAACACGUGGGGAACCUGCCCCAUAGUCUGGGAUACCACUUGGAAACAGGUGCUAAUACCGGAUAAGAAAGCAGAUCGCAUGAUCAGCUUUUAAAAGGCGGCGUAAGCUGUCGCUAUGGGAUGGCCCCGCGGUGCAUUAGCUAGUUGGUAAGGUAAAGGCUUACCAAGGCGAUGAUGCAUAGCCGAGUUGAGAGACUGAUCGGCCACAUUGGGACUGAGACACGGCCCAAACUCCUACGGGAGGCAGCAGUAGGGAAUCUUCCACAAUGGACGAAAGUCUGAUGGAGCAACGCCGCGUGAGUGAAGAAGGUUUUCGGAUCGUAAAGCUCUGUUGUUGGUGAAGAAGGAUAGAGGUAGUAACUGGCCUUUAUUUGACGGUAAUCAACCAGAAAGUCACGGCUAACUACGUGCCAGCAGCCGCGGUAAUACGUAGGUGGCAAGCGUUGUCCGGAUUUAUUGGGCGUAAAGCGAGCGCAGGCGGAAGAAUAAGUCUGAUGUGAAAGCCCUCGGCUUAACCGAGGAACUGCAUCGGAAACUGUUUUUCUUGAGUGCAGAAGAGGAGAGUGGAACUCCAUGUGUAGCGGUGGAAUGCGUAGAUAUAUGGAAGAACACCAGUGGCGAAGGCGGCUCUCUGGUCUGCAACUGACGCUGAGGCUCGAAAGCAUGGGUAGCGAACAGGAUUAGAUACCCUGGUAGUCCAUGCCGUAAACGAUGAGUGCUAAGUGUUGGGAGGUUUCCGCCUCUCAGUGCUGCAGCUAACGCAUUAAGCACUCCGCCUGGGGAGUACGACCGCAAGGUUGAAACUCAAAGGAAUUGACGGGGGCCCGCACAAGCGGUGGAGCAUGUGGUUUAAUUCGAAGCAACGCGAAGAACCUUACCAGGUCUUGACAUCUAGUGCCAUUUGUAGAGAUACAAAGUUCCCUUCGGGGACGCUAAGACAGGUGGUGCAUGGCUGUCGUCAGCUCGUGUCGUGAGAUGUUGGGUUAAGUCCCGCAACGAGCGCAACCCUUGUUAUUAGUUGCCAGCAUUAAGUUGGGCACUCUAAUGAGACUGCCGGUGACAAACCGGAGGAAGGUGGGGAUGACGUCAAGUCAUCAUGCCCCUUAUGACCUGGGCUACACACGUGCUACAAUGGGCAGUACAACGAGAAGCGAGCCUGCGAAGGCAAGCGAAUCUCUGAAAGCUGUUCUCAGUUCGGACUGCAGUCUGCAACUCGACUGCACGAAGCUGGAAUCGCUAGUAAUCGCGGAUCAGCACGCCGCGGUGAAUACGUUCCCGGGCCUUGUACACACCGCCCGUCACACCAUGGGAGUCUGCAAUGCCCAAAGCCGGUGGCCUAACCUUCGGGAAGGAGCCGUCUAAGGCAGGGCAGAUGACU
This 1475-nucleotide ribosomal RNA is filed under the name Lactobacillus crispatus. RNAcentral's name for it is "bacterial SSU rRNA". It matches the Rfam family "Bacterial small subunit ribosomal RNA". The record is from RNAcentral. Lineage: Bacteria; Bacillati; Bacillota; Bacilli; Lactobacillales; Lactobacillaceae.